This 332-nucleotide ribosomal RNA is filed under the name uncultured Lactobacillus sp. RNAcentral's name for it is "bacterial SSU rRNA". It matches the Rfam family "Bacterial small subunit ribosomal RNA", at positions 202 to 526 of the family's 1533-position model. Lineage: Bacteria; Bacillati; Bacillota; Bacilli; Lactobacillales; Lactobacillaceae. The record is from RNAcentral.
AUGGUUCUGCUAUCACUCUUGGAUGGACCUGCGGUGCAUUAGCUAGUUGGUAGGGUAACGGACCUACCAAGGCGAUGAUGCAUAGCCGAGUUGAGAGACUGAUCGGCCACAUUGGGACUGAGACACGGUCCAAACUCCUACGGGAGGCAGCAGUAGGGAAUCUUCCACAAUGGACGCAAGUCUGAUGGAGCAACGCCGCGUGAGUGAAGAAGGGUUUCGGCUCGUAAAGCUCUGUUGUUGGUGAAGAAGGACAGGGGUAGUAACUGACCUUUGUUUGACGGUAAUCAAUUAGAAAGUCACGGCUAACUACGUGCCAGCAGCCGCGGUAAAAU